AUUGAACGCUGGCGGCAUGCCUAACACAUGCAAGUCGAACGGCAGCGGGUUUGGUAGCAAUACCAGAUGCCGGCGAGUGGCGGACGGGUGAGUAGAAAGUAGGGAUCUGCCUUAUAGUUGGGGAUAACUUGUGGAAACGCGAGCUAAUACCGGAUGAACACUACGGUGUAAAGUAUGGGACCAGUAAUGGCCAUGCGCUAUAAGAUGAACCUACGUCGGANAGCUAGUUGGUUGGUAAAGGCUGACCAAGGCGAAGAUCCGUAGCUGGUCUGAGAGGAUGAUCAGCCACACUGGGACUGAGCACGGCCCAGACUCCUACGGGAGGCAGCAGUGGGGAAUAUUGGACAA
This 348-nucleotide ribosomal RNA is filed under the name uncultured bacterium. RNAcentral describes it as "bacterial SSU rRNA". It matches the Rfam family "Bacterial small subunit ribosomal RNA", at positions 30 to 371 of the family's 1533-position model. The record is from RNAcentral.